AGAGUUUGAUCAUGGCUCAGGAUGAACGCUAGCGGCAGGCCUAAUACAUGCAAGUCGAACGGGCCUAGGUAGCAAUACUUAGGUUAGUGGCGCACGGGUGCGUAACGCGUAUGCAACCUACCUUUUAUUGGGGGAUAGCCCGAGGAAACUCGGAUUAAUACCGCAUAACACUAUUUGAGGGCAUCUGAGGAUAGUUAAAGCUGAGGCGAUAAGAGAUGGGCAUGCGUGCCAUUAGCUAGUUGGUGGUGUAACGGACCACCAAGGCAACGAUGGCUAGGGGUUCUGAGAGGAUGAUCCCCCACACUGGUACUGAGAUACGGACCAGACUCCUACGGGAGGCAGCAGUAGGGAAUAUUGGGCAAUGGGCGGAAGCCUGACCCAGCCAUGCCGCGUGCAGGAAGAAGGCCUUCUGGGUUGUAAACUGCUUUUAUCUAGGAAGAAAAUACCCUUGCGAGGGGAACUGACGGUACUAGGUGAAUAAGCACCGGCUAACUCCGUGCCAGCAGCCGCGGUAAUACGGAGGGUGCAAGCGUUGUCCGGAUUUAUUGGGUUUAAAGGGUGCGUAGGCGGCUUAGUAAGUCCGUGGUGAAAGCCAACAGCUCAACUGUUGAACUGCCAUGGAUACUGCUAGGCUUGAGUACAGACGAGGUAGGCGGAAUUGAUGGUGUAGCGGUGAAAUGCAUAGAUACCAUCAAGAACACCGAUUGCGAAGGCAGCUUACUAGGCUGUAACUGACGCUGAGGCACGAAAGCGUGGGGAGCGAACAGGAUUAGAUACCCUAGUAGUCC
Molecule: ribosomal RNA, 788 nt
Filed under: uncultured bacterium
Lineage: Bacteria
Description: bacterial SSU rRNA
Rfam family: Bacterial small subunit ribosomal RNA
Source: RNAcentral